Molecule: ribosomal RNA, 468 nt
Filed under: uncultured bacterium
Lineage: Bacteria
Description: partial 16S ribosomal RNA
Rfam family: Bacterial small subunit ribosomal RNA
Source: RNAcentral
UACGAACGCUGGCGGCGUGCUUAACACAUGCAAGUCGAACGGAAAGGCCCUGCUUUUGUGGGGUGCUCGAGUGGCGAACGGGUGAGUAACACGUGAGUAACCUGCCCUUGACUUUGGGAUAACUUCAGGAAACUGGGGCUAAUACCGGAUAGGAGCUCCUGCUGCAUGGUGGGGGUUGGAAAGUUUCGGCGGUUGGGGAUGGACUCGCGGCUUAUCAGCUUGUUGGUGGGGUAGUGGCUUACCAAGGCUUCGACGGGUAGCCGGCCUGAGAGGGUGACCGGCCACAUUGGGACUGAGAUACGGCCCAGACUCCUACGGGAGGCAGCAGUGGGGAAUAUUGCACAAUGGGCGGAAGCCUGAUGCAGCAACGCCGCGUGCGGGAUGACGGCCUUCGGGUUGUAAACCGCUUUCGCCUGUGACGAAGCGUGAGUGACGGUAAUGGGUAAAGAAGCACCGGCUAACUACGUG